UGAGGAAUAUUGGACAAUGGGCGCAAGCCUGAUCCAGCCAUGCCGCGUGCAGGAAGAAGCAUCUAUGGUGUGUAAACUGCUUUUGUACGGGAAGAAACCACCCCUCGUGAGGGGUAUUGACGGUACCGUAAGAAUAAGGAUCGGCUAACUCCGUGCCAGCAGCCGCGGUAAUACGGAGGAUCCAAGCGUUAUCCGGAAUCAUUGGGUUUAAAGGGUCCGUAGGCGGUUUAAUAAGUCAGUGGUGAAAGCCCAUCGCUCAACGAUGGAACGGCCAUUGAUACUGUUAGACUUGAAUAACAAGGAAGUAACUAGAAUAUGUGGUGUAGCGGUGAAAUGCUUAGAUAUUACAUGGAAUACCAAUUGCGAAGGCAGGUUACUACUUGUGGAUUGACGCUGAUGGACGAAAGCGUGGGGAGCAAACA
RNAcentral lists this ribosomal RNA (422 nucleotides) under uncultured bacterium. Its description in RNAcentral is "bacterial SSU rRNA". It matches the Rfam family "Bacterial small subunit ribosomal RNA", at positions 355 to 774 of the family's 1533-position model. The record is from RNAcentral.